Syngnathus acus (greater pipefish) is the source of this 123-nucleotide long non-coding RNA. RefSeq lists it as uncharacterized. The record is from RefSeq and is a predicted model, not a curated record. The transcript is spliced from 2 exons. Lineage: Eukaryota; Metazoa; Chordata; Actinopteri; Syngnathiformes; Syngnathidae.
AGACAUGAACGAGCAACAACAGGCUAAACGAUAGCAACAACAGGCUAAACGAUACGGUAUGCUAACGUGACAUAAACACAAAUAAGGAGCUGAGAACUGGCCUGACGCAACAUAACAGUUAUU